GCUGAGGAGUGAUGACAGUGAAAGGCCGAAUUGCAGUGCCUGCAAACAGUUUUCUCUCUAAAGGCAUGAUGACAAAUCUCCUGAAGCGACUAUUUUGUCUGACCUCAGC
Small nucleolar RNA from Heteronotia binoei (common prickly gecko), 109 nucleotides. RefSeq annotates it as small nucleolar RNA SNORD89. The transcript has a single exon. NCBI's taxonomy places the organism in Eukaryota, Metazoa, Chordata, Lepidosauria, Squamata, Gekkonidae. The record is from RefSeq and is a predicted model, not a curated record.